GAUGAAGAACGUAGUGAAAUGCGAUACUUGGUGUGAAUUGCAGAAUCCCGUGAACCAUCGAGUCUUUGAACGCAAGUUGCGCCCGAUGCCAUUAGGCCGAGGGCACGCCUGCCUGGGCGUCACACGUCGUUGCCCCCCCAUCUACUCCUUCGGGAUUGCGUGGGGCGGAUGAUGGCCUCCCGUGCGCCUCGUCGCGCGGUUGGCAUAAAUGCCAAGUCCUCGGCGACGCACGCCACGACAAUCGGUGGUUGCGAAACCUCGGUUGCCCGUCGUGUGCGGUCGUCGCGCAUCGAGGGCUCGAAAAAAUUGCCGGGCUCCGGCUCGGCUUUCAACGCGACCCCAGGUCAGGCGGGGUUACCCGCUGAAUUUAAGCAUAUCAAUAAGCGGAGGA
RNAcentral lists this unclassified non-coding RNA (391 nucleotides) under soil metagenome. RNAcentral describes it as "partial contains 5.8S ribosomal RNA, internal transcribed spacer 2, and large subunit ribosomal RNA". The stretch from base 1 to 122 matches the Rfam family "5.8S ribosomal RNA", at positions 35 to 154 of the family's 154-position model. The record is from RNAcentral.